AUUGAACGCUGGCGGCAUGCCUUACACAUGCAAGUCGAACGGCAGCGCGGGGCAACCUGGCGGCGAGUGGCGAACGGGUGAGUAAUAUAUCGGAACAUACCCUAGAGUGGGGGAUAACGUAGCGAAAGUUACGCUAAUACCGCAUACGCACUAAGGUGGAAAGUGGGGGAUCUUCGGACCUCAUGCUCAUGGAGUGGCCGAUAUCUGAUUAGCUAGUUGGUGAGGUAAAGGCUCACCAAGGCGACGAUCAGUAGCUGGUUUGAGAGAACGACCAGCCACACUGGAACUGAGACACGGUCCAGACUCCUACGGGAGGCAGCAGUGGGGAAUUUUGGACAAUGGGGGCAACCCUGAUCCAGCAAUGCCGCGUGAGUGAAGAAGGCCUC
RNAcentral lists this ribosomal RNA (386 nucleotides) under uncultured bacterium. Its description in RNAcentral is "bacterial SSU rRNA". It matches the Rfam family "Bacterial small subunit ribosomal RNA", at positions 30 to 418 of the family's 1533-position model. The record is from RNAcentral.